Molecule: long non-coding RNA, 2485 nt
Organism: Lolium rigidum
Lineage: Eukaryota; Viridiplantae; Streptophyta; Magnoliopsida; Poales; Poaceae
Exons: 7
Source: RefSeq, a predicted model, not a curated record
UGCUCGUUCCUCCUCUUCCCCUCCCGAAGAGAGGCUCAAGCCGCGUCCAGCACACCUCGGCGGCGGCGCAAUCAGGCUCCUCCUCCUCCUCCUCCUCCUCCUCCUCCUCCCUAGCACUCUUCCUCCUUGCCCCCAUCUGUGAUUUCCCCCAGGGCGUCCUUCCCUGCAGCCCUCCCUAACCCUAGAUCGACCAGGCCGCCGCCAUCUCAUCUCCUCUUCCCACUGAUGGCGGGAGUAGCAGUGAAGACCGUUGCUCUGCCCAGCGACUUUGGACGGAAGAAAGUAGGCCGCGUCGGGUGUGGAUGUAUUCACCGAUGGGAUGGGCGAGGCUGCAUCAUGGUCAUGGACAAUCUCCCUUCUUACCCCCACCAAAAUUUCGUUUAUCUUUGAGCAGGCCAGAAAUAUGGUUUUUCUUUCUAUGUAAGACACCAGUUUUAAUGAUGAGAUCCGAGUUAUUUGGUCAAAUGGAAUUCUUUUCGGCUGAAGGAUAUUCGUCACUACUUAACAGUAGAUUGAUCCUGCUUAAAUUGCCUAUCUAAAUUGGCUUUCACAUGUACUGCAGCAGCAUCAUAGGAAUUAGUCAACCAAGGUUGAUGGAGUCCAACACAUCCUUGAAAUUACUCAAAGCAAGAUAUAUUCUACAUAUUGUUUAUAUAGGCUGGUGGUUAGUUGGCAAUUCUCGGGAAACUAUCAGGUGGCUACAGAUCACCUCAGAUGCUAAAAUUGUGUUGUUUUGAAUAAUUUAGGAUGAUUACAGAUUUGCUGAGGCUAUUACAAAUCAUAUAUUUUCUCAGGUUGAUGCAGGUUAGUCACGUACACUUGCUGCUUGAAGUUUUAGCAGUCCGCAAUCUGGUGCUGAGAGAGUGGACAUCUAUAUCCUAACUGAAAGGCUUGGUUGGUCAUUGGUAAGGAAGGUGGGACCAUUAAGGCUCUAAAAGCUAAGCCCGGGGCUGGCAUACAGGUUAGUGUUAUGACUAUAUGCACGCAUGCUUCUUGUUCACAUCAAAAUGAAAUUUGUUGAUUACGCAACAUAUACCUUAAGGUGAUCUUUCCACAGAAAUAAAAGCUGGAAUCAAAUAGAGGUUGCAAGAACAAUGAUCGUGGAACUCACUAUAUUGGCUAGGUUAAGUUUUGGGGGAUUUUUUGGUGAUAUUUCAUUGUUUGCUGCUCGUAAAGUUGCGCCUGUCUUGUUUUAGGAUUGUGCUUGCUGCCUGGAACCAUGUUUGCAGUUUCUUUGAUUCAAUCUUUUACUUCAGGUGAAGCCAUGUGGUAUACAUCUGUGUGUCUCGCUUAUGGGAUAAGUUGGUUUUAUUUUCUAUAAUAUAAGGGGAUCCAAAAUAUAGUCAAGCUCCAAUUUCAGCUAUAUUUACCAAAGCAACAUAAAUCUGCCUUGUUGGCAUUCUUCGUUCUUUCAAAUCCAAGUGCUAUAUUUUUGCCAGAAGAAACAUUAGACAACUUAGAACUACACAAGAGGGAAAUAAACUUUUUCCAUGCUUUACAAACAACACACAUGGCUCGUCUCUUUUGGCGAGCGAGUCAGGUCAUUUCUUUUGCUGUUAUGUCAUCUUAGCCGUUGCAGCUCAUUGUGGCACGUUUUAAUAUUGUCGAGUUAACUGAAUCUAUACGGUUUUAAUAUUAUUCAGGGUCUAAUGUGUUUCUCUAAAAUUAUCUGGAUUGACUGUAGUAUGGCUAUAUAGGCCCAAGGCAAUAUCAGGGCCCUAAUUUCUGCUCCAACUUAUGCUGAAGGCACCCAAACAUGAUCAACUAAAAUGGAUUUAGUGGUCUUAGUUUAUCUUUGCUGGGGCAGAUUGUUUUCUUCUAUCGUUUAAAUUCUAUGGUAUUAUGUGUUGACUUGUACUUCAUAGUCUGCAGUUUGGGUCUUUCAAUGAAGAGUAGCGUAUCCACUUCAGUUUUGCUUCCUAUUUAGCUCUGCAUUUACCGUCAUAAAUAUGUGUUACAGUAGCCUCAUGCUUUUUUACAACAUACUUAUAUGUGAAAGUUUGGCUUCGAAGCUCAGGCAGUGUUCUUUUUUCUGCAGAGAAAAGUGCAUCACAUGUCCUGAUUUCUUUAAAGAACUAUUUGGUUAUUUUGUCACAAGGAAUUAUUUGUUUAUUUUGAUUACGUUCGUUUCAUGAAGAGCAAAAGGCUGCAGACCAGAAAGAAAGGAGUUCUGUCGUUUUGGAUCCAUAUGAGUGCUCCUCUGCAUUGUCACUUCUUUUGCUUCAUUAUGAAUUGAGCUGUUGACCGGCCGCACUGGCCAUACGUAAUCUACAGUUCAGAACACCUUCUUUAGUGUGUGCCAAUCUAGGGCAUAUUAGUCCCAAGCAAUUACAUCCUAUAGUACCGUGCUAUUUACAAGGAUUAGGAAAGAGCUAUGAGUCAUUGUAUUCAAUUUGCCUGAAACAAGCCUCCUUCUUUGUAAAACUAAAAUAUAGAUGCCUUUAAAUCGCUAUGUUUAUAGCCAACUACCUGGUUCUGUCUGGCA